RNAcentral lists this ribosomal RNA (396 nucleotides) under uncultured bacterium. Its description in RNAcentral is "bacterial SSU rRNA". It matches the Rfam family "Bacterial small subunit ribosomal RNA", at positions 774 to 1171 of the family's 1533-position model. The record is from RNAcentral.
AGUAAAUAGAUACCCAGGUAGUCCACGCCGUAAACGAUGAAUACUAGGUGUAGGAGGUAUGACUCCUUCUGUGCCGCAGUUAAACACAAUAAGUAUUCCGCCUGGGGAGUACGGUCGCAAGAUUAAAACUCAAAGGAAUUGACGGGGCCCGCACAAGCAGCGGAGCAUGUGGUUUAAUUCGAAGCAACGCGAAGAACCUUACCUAGACUUGACAUCUUCUGCAUUAAUCGUAAUGGAUGAAAUCCCUUCGGGGACAGAAUGACAGGUGGUGCAUGGUUGUCGUCAGCUCGUGUCGUGAGAUGUUGGGUUAAGUCCCGCAACGAGCGCAACCCCUAUUAUUAGUUGCUAACAUUAAGUUGAGCACUCUAGUGAGACUGCCCGGGUUAACCGGAGGAA